Molecule: long non-coding RNA, 135 nt
Organism: Herpailurus yagouaroundi (jaguarundi)
Lineage: Eukaryota; Metazoa; Chordata; Mammalia; Carnivora; Felidae
Exons: 3
Source: RefSeq, a predicted model, not a curated record
CCCUGCGGUAGCCACCUAAGGUGGGCUGGAGCCACUGCCCAACCCUAUCCACUUCUACCCUAGGCCUCAGUUUCCCCUUUCCUCACACAGGGCACUAAUAACAAGGAGCUAGUCUUGCCCACAGAUUGGAAGAGC